RNAcentral lists this small nuclear RNA (99 nucleotides) under Mus pahari (shrew mouse). The record is from RNAcentral. Lineage: Eukaryota; Metazoa; Chordata; Mammalia; Rodentia; Muridae.
GAGCUCAUUUUAGCACAUGUGUUAAAAUGAAAAUGAUACAGAGAUUCUCAUGGCCUGUGCAAGAAUGACAUGCAAAUUAAUGACGCAUUCCAAGGUUCA